RNAcentral lists this long non-coding RNA (278 nucleotides) under Serinus canaria (Common canary). RNAcentral's name for it is "lncRNA (ENSSCAG00000013092.1)". Lineage: Eukaryota; Metazoa; Chordata; Aves; Passeriformes; Fringillidae. The record is from RNAcentral.
AUAUCAGAAGAUGGUUCCAAAAGCUCCUGCCAACUUUUUAGAGACUUGCAUUGGUUACACUGUGGUAAGCAGUAGACCAGAGCCUUUUCUGUGUAAAGUGCUGGCAUUCAAAGACCUACCACACGAAGUCCCAGUCCUGCAAUCAGACACAGAGAGAGCUUCCCAUGCAUCCAGAAGCCCACUACCAGCCAACAGAAACAUCAAAGAUCACUUUUGAAGGUUGCAGGAAGACUCAGCAGUACAAAUCUGGUAGCACCUCAAAGGCCUGCUAACAAAAC